UCAUGGUGGCGUCGUGGAUUCGGCGUAUUUGACGGCGGUUCGUGGAUUCGGAUCGUGGGCUCGUGGAUUCGAGUGGCGUCGUGGAUUCGGCGUGAUUGAAGCUUCGUGGAUUCGAAGUGAAGGCGUUCGUGGAUUCGGACGUGAGGGCGUGGACAACCCGGAGGGUAGCGCGAAGAUUCAUAGGAGGUUAAGAGAGGUUAAGUCCGUGGAGUCGGUAAUCACCUUGUAAUCUUUUCUCUUAGUGAAUUGUUUUUUCGCGUGUUGGUCCCGUGGGUUUUUCUCCAAGUUGGAGUUUUCCCACGUAAAUCUCGGUGUGCUUUUUAUUUUCCGCAUUUAUUUUUAUUGCAUCGAGAUUUGUGGUUUUUGGUCGUUCACCUAUUCACCCCCCUCUAGGUGAUAGAUACAAUCUAGAUAGAUCCUUGGGCUCCUCAAAACUUUCACACGCCCCGCCCAGAAACCACUACCAAUUUGGCACGAUUCGGGCCCGGCGACAGACCGCCGAACGGACAGCACCUCCCCUGUCCGCCCAA
This 530-nucleotide long non-coding RNA is filed under the name Ananas comosus (pineapple). Its description in RNAcentral is "long non-coding RNA (ACOM_LNC010393)". The record is from RNAcentral. Lineage: Eukaryota; Viridiplantae; Streptophyta; Magnoliopsida; Poales; Bromeliaceae.